Molecule: ribosomal RNA, 925 nt
Filed under: uncultured eukaryote
Lineage: Eukaryota
Description: bacterial SSU rRNA
Rfam family: Archaeal small subunit ribosomal RNA
Source: RNAcentral
CCUUACUGCUAUCGGGGUGGGACUAAGACAUGCGAGUCGAGCGUCUCUAGCUAUGUUGAGACGCGGCAUACGGCUCAGUAACACGUGGCUAACCUACCCUCAGGACGGGGACGAACCCGGGAAACUGGGGCUAAUAUCCGAUAUGCGAGGAAUCCUGGAAUGGUUCUUCACCCAAAGGACAUUGGAAACAUGCUUUCUCUGUCGCCUGGGGAUGGGGCCGCGUCCGAUCAGGUUGUUGGUGAGGUAAUGGCUCACCAAGCCUUUAACCGGUACGGGCCGUGAGAGCGGUAGCCCGGAGAUGGGUACUGAGACAAGGACCCAGGCCCUACGGGGCGCAGCAGUCGCGAAAACUCCGCAAUGCACGAAAGUGUGACGGGGCUACCCCGAGUGCCGUCCGCUGAGGAUGGCUUUUCCUUGGUGUAACUAGCCGGGGGAAUAAGGGAGAGGGCAAGACUGGUGUCAGCCGCCGCGGUAAUACCAGCUCUCCGAGUGGUAGGGAUGAUUAUUGGGCUUAAAGCGUCCGUAGCCGGCUUAGCAAGUUUCCUGUUAAAUUCAGCGACCUAAUCGUUGAGCCGCGGGAAAUACUACUAGGCUAGGAGGCGGGAGAGGUCGACGGUACUUCUGGGGUAGGGGUGAAAUCCUAUAAUCCCCGGGAGGACCACCAGUGGCGAAGGCUGUCGACUAGAACGCGCUCGACGGUGAGGGACGAAAGCUGGGGGAGCGAACCGGAUUAGAUACCCGGGUAGUCCCAGCUGUAAACGAUGCGGGCUAGGUGUUGGGGUGGCUACGUGCCACUUCAGUGCCNCAGGGAAGCCAUUAAGCCCNCCNCCUGGGGAGUACGNCCGCAAGGCUGAAACUUAAAGGAAUUGGCGGGGGANCACCNCAAGGCGUGAAGCUUGCGGUUCAAUUGGAUUCAACGCCGGAA